CCUACGGGAGGCAGCAGUGGGGAAUAUUGCACAAUGGUGGAAACCCUGAUGCAGCGACGCCGCGUGAGUGAGGAAGUAUUUCGGUAUGUCAAGCUCUAUCAGCAGGGAAGAAAAUGACGGUACCUGACUAAGACGCCCCGGCUAACUCCGUGCCAGCAGCCGCGGUACUACGUAGGGGGCAAGCGUUAUCCGGAUUUACUGGGUGUACAGGGAGCGUAGACGGUUAAUCAAGUCAGAAGUGAAAACCCAGGGCGUAAACUUGGGACUGCUUUUGAAACUGAGUAGCUAGAGUGCAGGAGAGGUAAGCGGAAUUCCUAGUGUAGCGGUGAAAUGCGUAGAUAUUAGGAGGAACACCAGUGGCGAAGGCGGAUUACUGGACUGUAACUGACGUUGAGGCUCGAAAGCGUGGGGAGCAAACAGGAUUAGAUACCCCUGUAGUC
RNAcentral lists this ribosomal RNA (440 nucleotides) under uncultured bacterium. RNAcentral's name for it is "partial 16S ribosomal RNA". It matches the Rfam family "Bacterial small subunit ribosomal RNA", at positions 338 to 795 of the family's 1533-position model. The record is from RNAcentral.